RNAcentral lists this small RNA (5396 nucleotides) under Pongo abelii (Sumatran orangutan). Its description in RNAcentral is "retained intron". The record is from RNAcentral. Lineage: Eukaryota; Metazoa; Chordata; Mammalia; Primates; Hominidae.
GGGAGGGAAGGGGGAGGCGGGGCGAGGACGGUGACCGGAGUCUCCUCAGCGGCGGCUUUUCUGCUUGGCAGCCUCAGAGGCUGGCGCCAAAACCGGACUCCGCCCACUUCCUCGCCCCUGCGGUGCGAGGGUGCGGAAUCCUCCAGACGCUGGGGGAGGGGGAGUUGGGGGCUUAAAAACUAGUACCCCUUUGGGACCACUUUCAGCAGAGAACUCUCCUGUACACCAGGGGUCAGCUCCACAGACGCGGGCCAGGGUUGGGUCAUUGCGGCGUGAACAAUAAUUUGAUUCGGAUGUUUCCGGAAGGGGCCGAGUCGGGGCACGGAAAACGAAAAGGGAAGGCUACUAAGAUUUUUCUGGCGGGGGUUAUCAUAGGCGUAACUGUAGGGACCACCUCCCGGGUUGAGGGGGCUGGAUCUCGGGCUGCGGAUUAAGCUCCUCCCGUCGGCGUUAAUUUCAAACUGCGCGACCGUUUCUCACCUGCCUUGCGCCAAGGCGGGGGGCGGGACCCUAUUCCGAGAGGUAGUAACACGCAGGACUCGAGCCUUCCGCAAUUCACUGAGCGCAUUUACGGAAGUAACGUCGGGUACUGUCGCUGGCCGCAAGGGUGGGAGGAGUACGUAUUUGGCGUAAGGUGGGGCGUAGAGCCUUCCCGCCAUUGGCGGCGGUUAGGGCGUUUACGCGACGGCCUGACGUAGAGGAAGACGCGUUAGUGGGGGGGAAGGUUCUAGAAAAGCGGCGGCAGCGGCUCUAGCGGCAGUAGCAGCGGCGCCGGGUCCCGUGCGGAGGUGCUCCUCGCAGUGUUGUUUCUCGAGCAGCGGCAGUUCUCACUACAGCGCCAGGACGAGUCCGGUUCGUGUUCGUCCGCGGAGAUCUCUCUCAUCUCGCUCGGCUGCGGGAAAUCGGGCUGAAGCGACUGAGUCCGCGAUGGAGGUAACGGGUUUGAAAUCAAUGAGUUAUUGGAAAGGGCAUGGCGAGGCCGUUGGCGUCUCAGUGGAAGUCGGCCAGCCGCCUCCGUGGGAGAGAGGCAGGAAAUCGGACCGCUUCAGUAGCAGUGGGGCUUGAGGUUUAUGAACGGGGUCUUGACCGGAGGCCUGAGCGUACAAACAGCUUCCCCACCCUCAGCCUCCCGGCGCCAUUUCCCUUCGCUGGGGGUGGGGGAUGGGGAGCUUUCACAUGGCGGACGCUGCCCCGCUGGAGUGAAAGUGGGGCGCGGAGGCGGGAAUUCUUAUUCCCUUUUUAAAGCACGCUGCUUCGGGGGCCACGGCGUCUCCUCGGCGAGCGUUUCGGCGGGCAGCGGGUCCUCGUGAGCGAGGCUGCGGAGCUUCCCCUCCCCCUCUCUCCCGGGAACCGGAUUUGGCGGCCGCCAUUUUCAUGGCUCGCCUUCCUCUCAGCGUUUUCCUUAUAACUCUCUCUAUUUUCCUAGUGUGCUUUCUGUGUCAAGGCGUAGAAGUGGUUAACUAUUUUUCUUUCUUCUCGGGCUGUUUUCAUAUCGUUUCGAGGUGGAUUUGGAGUGUUCUGUGAGCUUGGAUCUUUAGAGUCCUGCGCACCUCAUUAAAGGCGCUCAGCUUUCCCCUCGAUGAAAUGGCGCCAUUGCGUUCGGAAGCCACACCGAAGAGCGGGGCGGGGGGGUGCUCCGGGUUUACGGGCCCGGUUUCAGAGAAGAUAUCACCACCCAGGGCGUCGGGCCGGGUUCAAUGCGAGCCAUAGGACAAAGAAACCAUUUUAUAUUUUUUGUGUCUUUUUUUUCCCUUUGAGUAAUGCUUUUAUCUGGGUCUGCAGUCACUAAAACGGCAGAUGAACCGCAGCAAAAUAAAUUGGAAGCCAUCGGCCACGAGGGGCAGGGACGAAGGUGGUUUUCUGGGCGGGGGAGGGAUAUUCGCGUCAGAAUCCUUUACUGUUCUAAAGGAUUCCGUUUAAGUUGUAGAGCUGACUCAUUUUAAGUAAUGUUGUUACUGAGAAGUUUAAUCCUUACGGGACAGAUCCAUGGACCUUAAUAGAUGAUUAGUUAGAAAUUACGAGGAAAGUGAAAUAACGAUUUUGUUCUUAGUUGCACUUCGAUUAAAACAUGGCUUCAGAGGCUCCUUCCUGUAAUGCGUAUGGAUUGAUGUGCAAAAUUGUGGGCCUGGGCCGCUCUGUAUUUGAACUUUGUUACUUUUCUCAUUUUGUUUGCAAUCUUGGUUGAACAUUACAUUGGUAAGCAUAAGGUCUCAAGCGAAGGGGGUCUACCUGGUUAUUUUCUUUGACCCUAAGCACGUUUAUAAAAUAACAUUGUUUAAAAUCGAUAGUGGACAUCGGGUAAGUUUGGAAAAAUUGUGAGGUAAGUAAUGAGUUUUUGCUUUUUGUUAGUGAUUUGUAAGACUUGUUAUAAAUGUACAUUAUCCGUAAUUUCAGUUUAGAGACACCUAUGUGCUGACGACAAUUAAGAAUAAAAAUUAGCUGAAAAAAUGAAAAUAACAUCUUGACAAGUAACCAUUUCAAAAGACUGCUUUGUGUCUCAUAGGAGCUAGUUUGAUCAUUUCAGUUAAUUUUUUUUUUUUUUAAUCUUUACGAGUCCUGAAAACUACAGGAAAAAAAGUCUGAACUGGCUUUUUACCACUAUUUUUUAGCAGUUGGGAGCAUGCGAAUGGAGGGAGAGCUCCGUAGAACUGGGAUGAGAGCAGCAAUUCUGCUUGCUAGGAACAAAAAAUAAUUCUUGAUUGAAAAUUACGUGUGACUUUUUAGUUUGCAUUAUGCAUUUGUAGCAGUUGGUCCUGGAUAUCACUUCCUCUUGUUUGAGGUUUUUUAGCCUAGUUAACUUUUAAGACAGGUUUAAAACAUUGUUAAGUGCCCAAAAUACAGCUGUGUAGUACAGCAUAGGAAGAUUUCAGCUCUGAGGUUUUUCCUAUUAACUUGGAAAAUUGUUUUGUGCCUGUCUCUUGCCACAUGGCCAAUCAAGUUAAGUAAGCUUCAGCUUUCAGUAAUUGUUAUCUUAGACAUUAUAACACGUGAAUGUAUUUUAUUGUACAUAUGGUUAAGUAAUUCAUAUUCUGUAUUGUCGUAUAUCAAAUAUAGGCAUGUCCACCAAAAAUCAGUUAAACUUUUUAAGCUUCGAGUGCUGCUGGUCAUAAAAACUAAUUUGUCCUGGUUAUAAGAGUAAUUUUUAAGGUUAUUUCUAAUGCAUAUCUUUAAAUAUUUUCGUAACUGAGAAUCAUAUGGAGUAACUUAGUAUUUGUUUUAAAAAGUUUUUUUUUUUUUGGCUGAGAUACUUAGAAUCACCACCAGAGGGGGAAGUUAAGGGAAAAUAAAUGAUACUUUUCAGAUACUGAAUCGUGAAAUAAAAACUUUGGGACAUAAGCAACGAACCAAGAGUUAUUUUCUGAUCUUUAAAAAUAGAAAUCUGCGUUUUUAGGUUAUAGGGUUGAAAUUUUUGGUAAAGAUUCUUUAAUAAUCCUUUGAUAACCACGGUCUACAUUUGUUCAUUUUUCCUUAGUUUUUUUUUUUUAAUUAAGUAAUAAUUUGUUUAAGAUAAUUUAAUGUUGAGUAAAUUUAGAUCAAGCAUUAAUGACUUUGAAACUUGUGUAGAUCAGCUGAGGCAAUUUUUUGGUGUAACACAACUAAUAUGCAGUUUAACAUAUGGUUUAAAUUUGAUGUAAGUUUUUUUUUUCCCCCCCCAGAAAACUUUAGAAACUGUUCCUUUGGAGAGGAAAAAGGUACUCUGCCAGCAGGUCACCUCAUAUUUAAGAAUUUAAUUUCCUGCAUACAAAGAGGAAAAUGUAAAUAAAAAUUGAAAUGGUAUUUUCCUUUGCAGAGAGAAAAGGAACAGUUCCGUAAGCUCUUUAUUGGUGGCUUAAGCUUUGAAACCACAGAAGAAAGUUUGAGGAACUACUACGAACAAUGGGGAAAGCUUACAGACUGUGUGGUAAUGAGGGAUCCUGCAAGCAAAAGAUCAAGAGGAUUUGGUUUUGUAACUUUCUCAUCCAUGGCUGAGGUUGAUGCUGCCAUGGCUGCAAGACCUCAUUCAAUUGAUGGGAGAGUAGUUGAGCCAAAACGUGCUGUAGCAAGAGAGGAAUCUGGAAAACCAGGGGCUCAUGUAACUGUGAAGAAGCUGUUUGUUGGCGGAAUUAAAGAAGAUACUGAGGAACAUCACCUUAGAGAUUACUUUGAGGAAUAUGGAAAAAUUGAUACCAUUGAGAUAAUUACUGAUAGGCAGUCUGGAAAGAAAAGAGGCUUUGGCUUUGUUACUUUUGAUGACCAUGAUCCUGUGGAUAAAAUCGUAUUGCAGAAAUACCAUACCAUCAAUGGUCAUAACGCAGAAGUAAGAAAGGCUUUGUCUAGACAAGAAAUGCAGGAAGUUCAGAGUUCUAGGAGUGGAAGAGGAGGUAAUUUUAAUUCUGUUUCUUCUUUAUUUUUGUUCAUAUAUAAGGGCUUGUUUCUAACUGGGGCAUUUAUUGUAGGCAACUUCGGCUUUGGGGAUUCGCGUGGUGGCGGUGGAAAUUUCGGACCAGGACCAGGAAGUAACUUUAGAGGAGGAUCUGAUGGAUAUGGCAGUGGACGUGGAUUUGGGGAUGGCUAUAAUGGGUAUGGAGGAGGACCUGGAGGUGGCAAUUUUGGAGGUAGCCCCGGUUAUGGAGGAGGAAGAGGAGGAUAUGGUGGUGGAGGACCUGGAUAUGGCAACCAGGGUGGGGGCUACGGAGGUGGUUAUGACAACUAUGGAGGAGGAAAUUAUGGAAGUGGAAAUUACAAUGAUUUUGGAAAUUAUAACCAGCAACCUUCUAACUACGGUCCAAUGAAGAGUGGAAACUUUGGUGGUAGCAGGAACAUGGGGGGACCAUAUGGUGGAGGAAACUAUGGUCCAGGAGGCAGUGGAGGAAGUGGGGGUUAUGGUGGGAGGAGCCGAUACUGAGCUUCUUCCUAUUUGCCAUGGGCUUCACUGUAUAAAUAGGAGAGGAUGAGAGCCCAGAGGUAACAGAACAGCUUCAGGUUAUCGAAAUAACAAUGUUAAGGAAACUCUUAUCUCAGUCAUGCAUAAAUAUGCAGUGAUAUGGCAGAAGACACCAGAGCAGAUGCAGAGAGCCAUUUUGUGAAUGGAUUGGAUUAUUUAAUAACAUUACCUUACUGUGGAGGAAGGAUUGUAAAAAAAAAAUGCCUUUGAGACAGUUUCUUAGCUUUUUAAUUGUUGUUUCUUUCUAGUGGUCUUUGUAAGAGUGUAGAAGCAUUCCUUCUUUGAUAAUGUUAAAUUUGUAAGUUUCAGGUGACAUGUGAAACCUUUUUUAAGAUUUUUCUCAAAGUUUUGAAAAGCUAUUAGCCAGGAUCAUGGUGUAAUAAGACAUAACGUUUUUCCUUUAAAAAAUUUAAGUGCGUGUGUAGAGUUAAGAAGCUGUUGUACAUUUAUGAUUUAAUAAAAUAAUUCUAAA